Molecule: microRNA, 21 nt
Filed under: Anolis carolinensis (green anole)
Lineage: Eukaryota; Metazoa; Chordata; Lepidosauria; Squamata; Anolidae
Description: aca-miR-5444a
Source: miRBase by way of RNAcentral
UUCUUUCAGCAAGGAUUAAGG